This is a long non-coding RNA of Aquila chrysaetos chrysaetos, 1964 nucleotides long. RefSeq lists it as uncharacterized. NCBI's taxonomy places the organism in Eukaryota, Metazoa, Chordata, Aves, Accipitriformes, Accipitridae. The transcript is spliced from 2 exons. The record is from RefSeq and is a predicted model, not a curated record.
ACAGGCACGUGUUGGCCGGGCAGGGUGUUUGUUUGCAAACCAGCCAGGUGUUUGCGUGGAGCCGGCGGGGAGCAGAGCCUGCCGGGCAGCUAACGAGCAGGGUUUAACACCGGUGGCAGCCGUGCGUGGGGCCGGAGAAGUCAUGCACACAACCAUCAAAGGGAGGGCACGCAACCUGCCUGAGUCGCCUAACGCUGCUCAAAUAGGAUUGCUGCCGAUGAUGGACAGAUCCUUAUUUCAGCGAACGCCAGCAGGAAGAUGACGAAGAAAACCCCCGGCCCGUGGGUGCAGCAUCCCCUUGCCUGGUCCCGGGGGUACCGCACCUCGAUGCCAGAGGAUGGGCUGAGAGUUGGGGACACCUCGUGCGGAGCAGCGGCGAUGGAGACCGCACGAGAAACACCGCUUCCAGCUGGGACUCGCACGUCUCUGCAGGAUUGGGCCACAUCCUUGCCACCCACAUCCCAUAUGACCUUGCCAGAGAGAUGCCAGGGAGAGACCUUCCGGGAGGCAGCCCCAAGCGGCAUGCAGAGCCCCCAAAUUUUACCCAACCAAUGGAGUUCCAGCUGUGGGCCCCAACAGACCCUGCGCUUCUCCAAGAUGACUUUAAACCCUCAUUUAGUCUGGAGAUGCUUUCCUCCAUGAAUUUGGGACCUCCGACAGCUUGAAGAAAUGUAGUUAUUUUCCUUUUACAUUAAAAUAAACAAAUAGAGAGUUUCAGCUCGUAUUUAAAGGCUAGGAUGAGACCUGGUUUCAGAGACCACUGACAUUGGAGACACAGAUGCUUGAGAAGGGAAGAAAUGCAAUUUCUCUAUCACAAAAUUAAUCGGAAGCAACACAAAGGUAGGAAUCACGCGCCUGACACCCUGCACCUCGUGGGACUCUCUCCAUCACUGCCCAGCCUGCCUCCGGCGUGCCUCUCCCCACCGCCCCUCUGGCAGCAGAUCAGUUCACUUCCCCAUUUAUUGACCCAACACAUGAGCGGACUGGUGCUUGGUUUUUUAAGUUAGACAGACCUUAAGCUCCCUGCAGCCUGUUGUGCAAACACAGAGAUUUGCAAGUGCAUUUUGCACGCAUUGGGCUGGGCAGAAAGGGUUUUUUCUACCUGGGCACAUUUUCUAGUCUUUGUGAUCCGUGACAAAUCGCAGUCUGAGGAAGAGGAAGUUGCUCUGAGCUUGAAAUUUUAAAGAAAGAGAUGAACACCCCAGGCGAUGGCCCAUUCAUGGCUUGCCUGGCUGCUCCUGCGGUGCCCUGAGCCAGCACCCCUGCUCUCCUUGCUCCAGCCCCUGCCGCAGUGCUGCUCAUCUGUCCUUUGGGCUGGUACAUAAGGAUAAGUCAAAAUCAGCACAGCUCCUACCAGGCGAGGCAGCAGAAACCCUCUUCGAGAGCUUGGAGAUUUUUCUGAAGGCGAAUUCAGCAGCCAGCCCUGCCCUGCCCUCCAGUACCCGCAACUUAACUACAGUUACCCAACGUGGUGUAUUGAACGUACACGGGAGCAACCCGCCGGCGCCAAAGCAGCUGCCCUCCGGCACGGCCAAGCGUCUCCAGCACGCGCCGGGCUCUGGCCCGUGAGACGAGGGGGUCCCUCGCCCGCUCCUGCUCCGCUGUCACAUCGCGCUUUACCCAACAAGCCGCCGAGGACCGAGCUGUGCCUGUGGCACAGCGCCGUCGGGGCUGGGGAUGCGCCUGCAUCCCUCCUCGCACCCAUCCUGGAGCAGCAGCCUCGGGACUAGCGCUGGAAGAGCGUACAGAGCACCAAGGACAACGCGGUGGCCGUGGGCGCGUGGGGGCAUGGGGGGGGUGCUGCGAGGUGCCCGCAGCUGCGCGCUUGCGGCGUGCGGAGCACGCGCGCCCCGGUACACCGCUGCUGGGGACCGCGCCGGCGUGCGAGAUGCUCACGUGUGUAAAGCAUCUUCUCGGGCUCGUGCUUUGCUGUGAAAAAGGAAAUAAAGAGUCUCCCCCCACGA